Molecule: ribosomal RNA, 1372 nt
Filed under: uncultured bacterium
Lineage: Bacteria
Description: bacterial SSU rRNA
Rfam family: Bacterial small subunit ribosomal RNA
Source: RNAcentral
GAUGAACGCUGGCGGCGUGCCUAAUACAUGCAAGUCGAGCGAACGGACGAGAAGCUUGCUUCUCUGAUGUUAGCGGCGGACGGGUGAGUAACACGUGGAUAACCUACCUAUAAGACUGGGAUAACUUCGGGAAACCGGAGCUAAUACCGGAUAAUAUUUUGAACCGCAUGGUUCAAAAGUGAAAGACGGUCUUGCUGUCACUUAUAGAUGGAUCCGCGCUGCAUUAGCUAGUUGGUAAGGUAACGGCUUACCAAGGCAACGAUGCAUAGCCGACCUGAGAGGGUGAUCGGCCACACUGGAACUGAGACACGGUCCAGACUCCUACGGGAGGCAGCAGUAGGGAAUCUUCCGCAAUGGGCGAAAGCCUGACGGAGCAACGCCGCGUGAGUGAUGAAGGUCAUCGGAUCGUAAAACUCUGUUAUUAGGGAAGAACAUAUGUGUAAGUAACUGUGCACAUCUUGACGGUACCUAAUCAGAAAGCCACGGCUAACUACGUGCCAGCAGCCGCGGUAAUACGUAGGUGGCAAGCGUUAUCCGGAAUUAUUGGGCGUAAAGCGCGCGUAGGCGGUUUUUUAAGUCUGAUGUGAAAGCCCACGGCUCAACCGUGGAGGGUCAUUGGAAACUGGAAAACUUGAGUGCAGAAGAGGAAAGUGGAAUUCCAUGUGUAGCGGUGAAAUGCGCAGAGAUAUGGAGGAACACCAGUGGCGAAGGCGACUUUCUGGUCUGUAACUGACGCUGAUGUGCGAAAGCGUGGGGAUCAAACAGGAUUAGAUACCCUGGUAGUCCACGCCGUAAACGAUGAGUGCUAAGUGUUAGGGGGUUUCCGCCCCUUAGUGCUGCAGCUAACGCAUUAAGCACUCCGCCUGGGGAGUACGACCGCAAGGUUGAAACUCAGAGGAAUUGACGGGGACCCGCACAAGCGGUGGAGCAUGUGGUUUAAUUCGAAGCAACGCGAAGAACCUUACCAAAUCUUGACAUCCUUUGACAACUCUAGAGAUAGAGCCUUCCCCUUCGGGGGACAAAGUGACAGGUGGUGCAUGGUUGUCGUCAGCUCGUGUCGUGAGAUGUUGGGUUAAGUCCCGCAACGAGCGCAACCCUUAAGCUUAGUUGCCAUCAUUAAGUUGGGCACUCUAAGUUGACUGCCGGUGACAAACCGGAGGAAGGUGGGGAUGACGUCAAAUCAUCAUGCCCCUUAUGAUUUGGGCUACACACGUGCUACAAUGGACAAUACAAAGGGCAGCGAAACCGCGAGGUCAAGCAAAUCCCAUAAAGUUGUUCUCAGUUCGGAUUGUAGUCUGCAACUCGACUACAUGAAGCUGGAAUCGCUAGUAAUCGUAGAUCAGCAUGCUACGGUGAAUACGUUCCCGGGUCU